This 368-nucleotide ribosomal RNA is filed under the name uncultured organism. RNAcentral's name for it is "bacterial SSU rRNA". It matches the Rfam family "Bacterial small subunit ribosomal RNA", at positions 526 to 896 of the family's 1533-position model. The record is from RNAcentral.
CGGAGGAUCCGAGCGUUAUCCGGAUUUAUUGGGUUUAAAGGGUGCGUAGGCGGCCUAUUAAGUCAGGGGUGAAAGACGGUAGCUUAACUAUCGCAGUGCCUUUGAUACUGAUGGGCUUGAAUGUACUUGAGGUAGGCGGAAUGUGACAAGUAGCGGUGAAAUGCAUAGAUAUGUCACAGAACACCAAUUGCGAAGGCAGCUUACUAAAGUAUGAUUGACGCUGAGGCACGAAAGCGUGGGGAUCAAACAGGAUUAGAUACCCUGGUAGUCCACGCCCUAAACGAUGAACACUCGAUGUUGGCGAUAUACGGUCAGCGUCUAAGCGAAAGCGUUAAGUGUUCAACCUGGGGAGUACGCCCGCAAGGGUG